AACGCUAAGAUGAACCCUAAAAAGUUCUUUAAACAC
RNAcentral lists this transfer RNA (36 nucleotides) under Barbarophryne brongersmai (Tiznit toad). RNAcentral's name for it is "partial tRNA-Phe". The record is from RNAcentral. Lineage: Eukaryota; Metazoa; Chordata; Amphibia; Anura; Bufonidae.